GUGCCCUAAAGAUCAUGCAAGGCCUAAGAUAAACAACAAUUCGAUAAUUCCACAGUUAAUCACUUAAAUCAAAUAUAUAAAUCCAACAUGACCAAAUAAUCAAAUUGGUUCAUUUACAAAAGCUUUCAAUAUUCAUUGAUAUCAAGAUAGACUAAGCAACUAAUGACUCUCAUACUCGCACUCUGCGCUCAUCCCAUCCAUGUCUAUGCAUCCUGCAACUCUUAAAAAAAAGAAAGAAGAAGGGGU
RNAcentral lists this long non-coding RNA (246 nucleotides) under Phoenix dactylifera (date palm). RNAcentral describes it as "long non-coding RNA (PDAC_LNC016729)". Lineage: Eukaryota; Viridiplantae; Streptophyta; Magnoliopsida; Arecales; Arecaceae. The record is from RNAcentral.